Molecule: long non-coding RNA, 217 nt
Filed under: Homo sapiens (human)
Lineage: Eukaryota; Metazoa; Chordata; Mammalia; Primates; Hominidae
Description: HSALNT0075925
Source: RNAcentral
UGUGUGCUGUUUUCGAAAAAUGGCAGUCAGAGCUCCUGCAGAGGCCUCUCUUAAGGGUCCCUGGCAAAAGGGGCCAUUGUUCCAGGCUCCAGUUGCAUGACCGUUUGGAGUUUGAUGACCUCAAGGCAAGAACAGAAGACAAACCAGGCUAUUAGAAAAUAUGUAUCAAAAUGAAACAAGGAGGAGAGCCAUGGAGAAAGAGAGAUGGAAUCACGGA